CAGUCGCCGCGGUAAUACGGAGGAUCCAAGCGUUAUCCGGAAUCAUUGGGUUUAAAGGGUCCGUAGGCGGUUUAGUAAGUCAGUGGUGAAAGCCCAUCGCUCAACGGUGGAACGGCCAUUGAUACUGCUGAACUUGAAUUAUUAGGAAGUAACUAGAAUAUGUAGUGUAGCGGUGAAAUGCUUAGAGAUUACAUGGAAUACCAAUUGCGAAGGCAGGUUACUACUAAUUGAUUGACGCUGAUGGACGAAAGCGUGGGGAGCGAACAGGAUUAGAUACCCCGGUAGUCCCUGUCUCUUAUAC
RNAcentral lists this ribosomal RNA (301 nucleotides) under uncultured bacterium. Its description in RNAcentral is "partial 16S ribosomal RNA". It matches the Rfam family "Bacterial small subunit ribosomal RNA", at positions 509 to 807 of the family's 1533-position model. The record is from RNAcentral.